This 301-nucleotide ribosomal RNA is filed under the name uncultured bacterium. RNAcentral describes it as "partial 16S ribosomal RNA". It matches the Rfam family "Bacterial small subunit ribosomal RNA", at positions 509 to 807 of the family's 1533-position model. The record is from RNAcentral.
CAGUAGCCGCGGGAAUACGUAGGGUGCGAGCGUUAAUCGGAAUUACUGGGCGUGAAGCGUGCGCAGGCGGUCAUAUAAGACAGAUGUGAAAUCCCCGGGCUCAACCUGGGACCUGCAUUUGUGACUGUAUAGCUAGAGUACGGUAGAGGGGGAUGGAAUUCCGCGUGUAGCAGUGAAAUGCGUAGAUAUGCGGAGGAACACCGAUGGCGAAGGCAAUCCCCUGGACCUAUACUGACGCUGAGGUGCGAAAGCGUGGGGAGCAAACAGGAUUAGAUACCCCAGUAGUCCCUGUCUCUUAUAC